UUUUGUAGUUCAAAAAGUUGUCUCAAAGAUUAAGCCAUGCAUGUCUAAGUAUAAGCAACUUGUACUGUGAAACUGCGAAUGGCUCAUUAAAUCAGUUAUCGUUUAUUUGAUAGUACCUUACUACAUGGAUACCUGUGGUAAUUCUAGAGCUAAUACAUGCUAAAAACCCCGACUUCAGGAAGGGGUGUAUUUAUUAGAUAAAAAACCAACGCCCUUCGGGGCUCCUUGGUGAAUCAUAAUAACUUAACGAAUCGCAUGGCCUUGCGCCGGCGAUGGUUCAUUCAAAUUUCUGCCCUAUCAACUUUCGAUGGUAGGAUAGUGGCCUACCAUGGUGGCAACGGGUAACGGGGAAUUAGGGUUCGAUUCCGGAGAGGGAGCCUGAGAAACGGCUACCACAUCCAAGGAAGGCAGCAGGCGCGCAAAUUACCCAAUCCCGAUACGGGGAGGUAGUGACAAUAAAUACUGAUACGGGGCUCUUUUGGGUCUCGUAAUUGGAAUGAGAACAAUUUAAAUCCCUUAACGAGGAACAAUUGGAGGGCAAGUCUGUGCCCCACCCAGCCAAA
Molecule: ribosomal RNA, 563 nt
Filed under: Penicillium sp.
Lineage: Eukaryota; Fungi; Ascomycota; Eurotiomycetes; Eurotiales; Aspergillaceae
Description: SSU rRNA
Rfam family: Eukaryotic small subunit ribosomal RNA
Source: RNAcentral